RNAcentral lists this long non-coding RNA (1311 nucleotides) under Mus musculus (house mouse). Its description in RNAcentral is "long non-coding RNA chr1:181381177-181382488". Lineage: Eukaryota; Metazoa; Chordata; Mammalia; Rodentia; Muridae. The record is from RNAcentral.
UGAGUCAAACUCUCCUAAUAUAGCUUAAAUAUGCUCACAUUAUCCUGAUUUACUGUUAAGACUCCUACUAUGUAAAUAAUUUGUGUCUGUGUCUCACGGCUUAUCUUAUGGACAGAGGAUGGCUGUCUCCUCCCGUAAACAAAAUGUAGAGAGGAUCAACUUCAGCAUCUGCAUAGAGUGGGCCAGAGUCGGUCCAGCCAGGCUUGUCCCCUAAGCUGCUGUUCUAUGUAAUUUGCAGUCAGUUAGAAUAGGCUGCAACCUGGCCUCUAGACCCUUCCUAAAGGUUCUAGCACCUUCCAACACACCAUCGACUAGGGCCUAGUAUCUAACAGAUGGGCCUUGAAACUCACCCGGAUCCUAGCUCAAAUGGAGUACAAUGUGUGAAGCAGGCACAGGCUGGAAGGCGUGCGUGGUGGCAGGCACGGCUCUCACUGUGGCUAGAGCAUACUUCCAUCUGUCGUAGCCUAGAAAUCUAAAGACAAGCAUGUCCCAAAUCCAGGCGCUCUCCCCACUCCCACACCAUGUUUCCCUGCCCCAGUGGAGGAGUCUAUGCUGUAGACAGUUCUUUCUAUAGCCUUCUCUCCCUGAAGGAGUGAAUCAGGACUAGAAUGGCCAAAGGGCAGGAAGCAACAGGGAGAAAGAGAACGGAAGCGUGGAUCAUGUUUAAUUCAUAAACCAAAUAAUCUCUCGCCCUUGGCAAUGUGCAGGAUACUUCUCACCCUGCAGUAGGUGGCUCUUUCAGGAAAACAAGUCGUGUUUAAUUGCAUUUAUAUUUACUGGGCACCCAUUAGUUAGCCACUGUAUUGGAGACCGCAGGCAUAUCAAAAAGAUAAAAGUCAAAUCUUCAGGAAUCCUAUGGUAUAAGAUGCUACUUGAACAUAAGAUAGCAGGGGCCAGCAGUGCAGAUUCACUUUUGUUAUUGAUGAGGAGACAGGCACUCUACUACCGAGCUGCAUCUCCAGUCCCAAGGACAUGUUUGAUUGGGGACAUUACAAAUGUCACAUUCAUGUGUGCAUUUUAACACACUAAAGUGAGGAGAAACAUGGCUAGCCCAGCCCAUCAGGACCUUUAGGCUUGUCUGUGGAGUAUGAGCUUUGGGAAGUGUGAAGAUGUGCUGAGUACCUGACUAGCCUCCUGCUUGGAUCUGGGUGGGGACUUAGGAGCAGGUGAACACUGAGAAAGCAGUUGCUGGUAGGGACCAGGGUUUUUGUGUCCCAGACCGUGGCAGGAAAUUCUUGCCCAAGACCAGAGAUUGCAACAAGUUGAGCCUUAGCUUACCUGAGUGAACCACACGGAGCUGGGAAUUGAUGC